Molecule: ribosomal RNA, 254 nt
Filed under: uncultured bacterium
Lineage: Bacteria
Description: partial 16S ribosomal RNA
Rfam family: Bacterial small subunit ribosomal RNA
Source: RNAcentral
CGUAGGGUCCGAGCGUUGUCCGGAAUUAUUGGGGCGUAAAGGGCUUGUAGGCGGUCAGUCGCGUCGGAAGUGAAACUCAGGGCUUAACCCUGAGCCUGCUUCCGAUACGGGCUGACUAGAGGGAUGCAGGGGAGAACGGAAUUCCUGGUGGAGCGGUGGAAUGCGCAGAUAUCAGGAGGAACACCGGUGGCGAAGGCGGUUCUCUGGGCAUCACCUGACGCUGAGAAGCGAAAGCGUGGGGAGCAAACAGGCUU